RNA transcript from Mercenaria mercenaria, 5328 nucleotides. RefSeq lists it as uncharacterized. The record is from RefSeq and is a predicted model, not a curated record. The transcript is spliced from 15 exons. NCBI's taxonomy places the organism in Eukaryota, Metazoa, Mollusca, Bivalvia, Venerida, Veneridae.
UCAGUUUUGUUUCUGCGAUAGAUCGGAACAGAUGUGUUUUCUUGUUAUAAAUUUUUGACUGUGUGGUAAAAUUUUGUGGACUUUGUUAGCCAUUAAACAUUUUCAGUGACUCAGUCUGUUUGUAUUUUCUGCAAUUAUGGCAGAAAAAGAAGUGAAACAGAAGUUAGCGGAUGAUGAUAAUGCAUCAAUCCGUUCUAUAAAAUCGUCUUCCACUGGGAAAGGACGAAAGAAAUCUUCAAAUAAACAGCCUGAAGGUAGUGUGAAAGCUUCAUCAUCAAAUACACAGCAUGAGGGUACAGUAAAAACCUCGAAAGCUUCAUCAUCAAAUACACAUGAGGGUACAGUAAAAUCCUCGACCUCGGAUGCCUCACUGUUGGUGGAGGCUUUAGAAAACAAAAUUUCAGCAAGAUUUGAAAAAAGUGAAUCACAGUAUGCCGAGCUGGACGGUAAGAUUUCAACUUUAUUGUCUACAUUUGAGAAAAUACAGUCUCAAAUCCCUACAGAUCAAAAUAACAAUUCUACUUCGGGUAGAAUUUCUUUGCACAAUGAUUUAAAUGAACAGUAUCAAAUCAGAGAUUUUGACGAGUUGAGUUUGCAACCUGGCAAUAAUGAAAUGAGACAAAUGUUACAUGAUGGGUCAUUUAGCAGGUCUGUCUCGCCACAUCGUUCUAUUUUGUCAGAAAAUAGCUCUAAGGUUAGCCAUUCCCAAUCAGGGUUGUCCGACUCGCCUGAAGAAGGUGAAAUUGAGAGAUUUAGCAGAUAUCAAAAUAUUACAGGCAAACAUAAAUCUCCAGAAGUUUUAGAACAGCCAGAUACUUUAGGGAAAAAAUUUGGACAUGAUGCCUUAGUUUCUAAACCAAAAUCGCAGGCUGGUCUUGUUUUAGAAAAGAAUCAAACUGACAUUUUGAAACGAUCUUGGCGUUCAGCAGAUCCAUCUAAAAUGUCUUGUUAUCGGGACAGUUACAAACAGUCAUUUCCUAUUCAUGAAUCGUGUGAAGACUGGUUCAAGGUAUCUACUCUUGAAAAUACAAUAGAAGUGCUAUUGACAAAGAGAUAUGGACAUAGGGCAGCUUUUGGGAAUGCUCCGUCUUUAUUUGGUAGAAAUAUGAAAUCCUUAGAAAAACUAGCUUUCCAAGGUCAGCUUGCUUCAAGAAUGGCGCUUAUUACUACUUGUUACGCUCAACAAGCCUUAGGUAGUCUUUUGGAUACACUUUCUCAAAAAAAUCCUAAUGUGGACAGUGCUGUUCAAAAUGUACGUGAUUUAUUUGCUAUCACAUCUAAAACGCUUGACCAAAUUGGGAGAUCAGGGGCUCUCCACCACCUUAUAAGAAGAAAGUCUGCCCUAUAUGACACAGGACUUAGUGAAUACAAAGACUACGCAUCUACUGUUAUGUCUCUACCUCUUGCAAGUGAUGGUAUAUUUGGUUCAGAGUUUGAUCAAAAACUGAAGAGCAAACAAGAAGUUUCUAAACAAUUAUCUGAUGUUUUACCAAAUAUUAGCUCUCGUUACAGCGGCUACUCAAGCCAAUACAAGAGGAAAGGCAACACUUUACCUCCAAGAGAGUAUGUUAAAAGACCACGUCUGGAAUCUGAAUAUAAACCUAGAAGCUCAAAUUUUUCCAGAAUACCAAAGAAUUCGUUUCUCAUCAGGACGACGUUCAGCUACACUUACUGGAAAGCCUAUGGUAUCACAACGUUCAGAAGGUGCUCCAACCUACAAGCGCUCCGGCUUGGGGAAGGAUAUGUAAACAUACAGAGCAGAGGCAUAACAUUUUUAAGACAGGGACUUUCCAAGCAGGAUCGCCCAUCUCACCAAGGUUCUAAGAUUUUUGUUCCUUGUUUUAAUGACAACAAGAAGUUGGAUCCAAAAAGGACACUUUAUUUUUAUCUGAAAAGAACAGACAUUUUUCGAAAACUUCCAGAUGGUACAGAUGAAGUGAAGUUAUUUCUGUCAUAUGUUAAACCACAUAAGCCAGUUACGAAACAAACUAUUUCAAAUUGGAUUGUUCAGACAAUCAAAAUGGCAUAUGAAGAAAAAAUCCAAGUCAAGGCUCACUCAACUAGAGCUAUUGGCCCUUCAUGGGCACUGUUUAAUGGAGCGUCUGUAAAGAGCAUCCUUGACUCCGCUGAUUGGUCAAGGGAAUCAACUUUCACUAAGUUUUAUCUAAGGAAUGUGGAUAUGAAUGUUUUUUCGUCAGGCUGUAAAUAGGAAGAAUUUUGAAAAGUUUUAGUUUCUGCGAGUUGGAACAGACAGUAAAAUAAAAUUACAGUGAAUGUUUUUAACUUUAUCACAGGAUGAUAUCAAAGUUUAUAUGUGUAUGUAAAUGAUAACAGUUACAAAGAGUAACUCUGAUGUGCCCAACCAUUCAUAGAUUGGAUGUGUAUUAUAUAUAUAUGUGUGUGUAUUAAUUUUUUUUGUGUGUGUACAUAUUCCUUUUUUGUACUGUGAAGUUUGAAGAAACUGAAAUACAGAAAGAAAAUUCCCAGCCAUCCUUGAGAGGAGUUACUGUCAUUAAUCCCAACUAGCCCUGGAUCUGGAUUGACUUGGGUGGAUCUAUGAAUAUAUGGUGCUGGUUGGUGGAUCUGCAAUAUUAAUGUCUUGAAAAGGACUACAGAAAAAUUAGCGAAAGAUGCUUUCCAGAAGAAGAAAGAUCCGAUGGAUGCAGCUCUUUUUUUUUCUGGCAAUGAAAAAGAAAAAUGUUCUGUGGGGAUUAUUCAGAUUAAUUGACAGCAAGAAGAUGGCAGACUUCUUCAGGAAUGACUUUAGUCAGGACCGAUGGCAGAAGGCAGCAUUGAAGAAUGCGUUUGACCUGCUUGGGAAGCAAAGGUUUGAACACGCAGCUGGAUUUUUUCUGCUGGGAGGGAUCUCAAGUGAUGCCUUAGAGCAACAAGGAGAGGCCACAUGCAAACACAAGGAGUUUCUAGAAUCUGAAGAAGUUCCUGAAUCAAUUCCAGUUGACAUGAAACAUCAGAGCAUUGCUCAGAUAAUAUAUGCUGGAUGCAGAGGCUGACAUCUCAGUCACUUUUGGUCGUAGCUCCCGGACAUUUCCAGAGGUUUCCCCUCCAUCAGCAGUGAAUUGUAUAAAAACAGUGGGGAAGUCCAGACCAGACCAGAAUGGACAGGGGGUCAACAACAAGUGGUAAAGAAGAUGAUGAUAUAGAAAUAGAUGAUUUGUCUGGUGAUAAUGAUACAAUCAAAGGAGCUGAUAGAGAAGGAACUGUAAGGACACUGAGGAAAUAUUCUACAAUCUUCACCAUGGUUACCAUUGAAUAGGGAAUCUCACAUAGCAAUUGCUGUACAGUGUAAUGCCAGCAUGUAUGUUUUUUUAAGCAAACAACAGUGUGUCAAGGCAGAAGCUGUGCAACUGGACAGGAUGAGAGUGGUUGUUUUCCAAUGGCUGUAAGCGUGAAAUCAACUGGCCUUGUGCGGAAGACAUCUAUGAAUCGAUCAACCAGAUGUAUACCUCUAAUUUAGAGAUGAGAGUGGUUGUUUUCCAAUGGCUGUAAGCGUGAAAUCAACUGGCCUUGUGCGGAAGACAUCUAUGAAUCGAUCAACCAGAUGUAUACCUCUAAUUUAGAAGGAUUGAGAUGGCAAAGGAAGCGUACGUUUGGCCGUUCCAUCUGAUCAUUCCAUUGUUUGUGAAGAACGCUAUUUAUGCACCCUAUGUACGAGAUUUCUUCAAAGAUUCGGUUGGCAUCAGCCCCUCUGACACAUCUGUACAUAAAGAUAAUGAGGGAGUAAUGGAGGUGUGGCAGUACCUGCAGCCAUUCCAGUUUGUUGAAGACAACAUGGCCAUGGCUCUACCUCCUGAUCAACUCUCUGAAGAGGAAUUACUGUAUUUCCUGGAAUUCAAAGGGAUCUUCGUAAAAUUCUACCUCACAAUUCGUAACACAAUCAUGGUGCUAUGGAACCUUAAUGUUAAGAACUGGGUAACGAGAGAGUGAUAUAUGAACUAUGUCAUCAUGAGAGGUCUGUCUCGAGUAUGGAUUACAAUACAUGUGGACCGUAUACUAGCAUACUUAACAUUGAAAGGUUUCCAAGGAAAUAAAAUUUGUUGAACUAUUAGAAGAAAACAUUCAAAAGGUGACAGUGAUCAAGGCUGGGGAUCAUAUUGGAGGUCGGGCUGUUGAUGAAGGAAGCUCAAAAUUUGACACACAGUCUUACAUGGUGGUUGGAUGUUGUAACAAUCCUGUUGUAGUAUUAUGUAAACAGAUCCACAUAACCUUGGUUUGAGAUGUAUAGUGAAUGGGGUCAGAAAACAGGACAGUAACACAAAUCAGCUGGUACACAAAACUGAACAGAUGAUAGCAUUUAUUACAAGGUAAUAGUUAUAUAUAAAGCUGAAAAAGGAUUGUGAUUUCUUGCUUGUAAGUGUGGGUUUUCAUCCUUGAUUUCAUUUAGCAUCUUAGGUGCGAGCAUUUAAAACAUGAUACUGUUUAGCUCUGAACGUUUUAAAUAUGUUUCCAAAAACCUAAGUGUGAUAUGUUAAAAGUGUAGAUUGACUUCUAGCAAAUCCAUACAAAUUAUCCAACAAAUUCGAGCAGAGGUUAAUAAUGGUUUAUUAAACAUAUAUUCUUUAUAUGAAAAAGUAUAGCUAUUGCACUCGCCCCGGCGUCUGCGUCACUGUUGGUUAAAGUUUUUGAUCAAGUCAAAUAUCUCUGUUACUAUCAAAGCUAUUGACUUGAAACUUAAAAUAGUUAUUUACUAUCAAAGUCUGCAUCAGGAGAAACAAUCCCCAUAACUCUGAUUGAAUUUUGACAGAGUCAUGCCUCUUUUUAACUUAGAAAUAUUGGUUAAAGUUUUUGAUAAGGUCAAAUAUCUCUAUUAAUAUCAAAGCUAUUGACUUGAAACUUAAAAUACUUAUUUACCAUCAAAGGUUACACCAGAAGAAACAGUUCCCAUAACUCUGGUUUGAAUUUCGACAGAAUUAUGCCCCUUUUUAACUUAGGAAUUUUUAAGCCCCCAAAGGGAGGCAUAUUAGUUUUCAGCUGUCUAUUCGUUCAUUCGUUAGUGCGUCACAAUGUUAACUUUUUGCAUGAAGGCACUUAAUUCGCGAACCACUGCACCCAGGACCUUCAAACUUCACAUGCUGAUAGUACUUAUUGAGUACAUGACCCCUACUGACUUUGGGGUCAAAGGUCAAGGUCACAGGGACCAACAUUAACUUUUUAGCUCACCAGUCACAAAGUGACGAGGCGAGCUUUUGUGAUCGCGCAGCGUCCGUUGUCCGUCCGUAAACUUUUGCUUGACCACUCUAGAGGUCACAUUUUUCAUGGGAUCUUUAUGAAAGUUGGUCAGAAUGUUCAUCUUGAUAAUAUCUAGGUCAA